This 480-nucleotide ribosomal RNA is filed under the name Triticum aestivum (bread wheat). Its description in RNAcentral is "partial small subunit ribosomal RNA". Lineage: Eukaryota; Viridiplantae; Streptophyta; Magnoliopsida; Poales; Poaceae. The record is from RNAcentral.
AUGACUAGACCUGAUGACAUUAAUAUCCCCGAUGGCAAGUUCUACCUAGGAGAUGCUGGCUAUGCAUGUCGGCCAGGUGUUCUUCCACCCUUGAGGAAAACCAGGUGCCAUCUGAAUGAGUUCUUUGGUAGGAACUAUCCUAGGACUCCAUAGGAAUUGUUUAAUACCAUCAACUCUAGCCUUCGAGUUAUGGUUGAGAGUGCAUUUGGAGCUCUGAAGAAUAGGUUUAAGAUCCUGGAUCAGAAUCCACCGCACACUUUCCCCAUUCAGAUUAAGUUUGUUCUUACUUGUUGCAUUCUGUAUAACUGGACCCUAUAAUGGGGUUGUGCUGAACUGGUGUCGGGGGAGGAAGAGGUGAUGCCUGACGAUGUUGUCAGCUCCGGCCAUGGCGUGGAGGCAUUUGACAACGAAGCUUGAAAGAGCAAAAGGAUGAAGUGGGCACAGUCAAUGUGGGAUAAAAGAGGCCAGACAAGGAUCUGA